GGGUCUGUAGCUCAGUUGGUUAGAGCUAGCCGCUCAUAACGGCUCGGUCGUAGGUUCGAGUCCUACCAGACCCACCA
Molecule: transfer RNA, 77 nt
Filed under: Emcibacter sp.
Lineage: Bacteria; Pseudomonadati; Pseudomonadota; Alphaproteobacteria; Emcibacterales; Emcibacteraceae
Also listed under: 3 other names
Description: tRNA-Ile
Rfam family: tRNA
About the family: Transfer RNA (tRNA) molecules are approximately 80 nucleotides in length.
Source: RNAcentral